GUAGUAACGGCGCCAACAUAAAUUUAGUCAUGGAUAACUUCAAAUAUUUACGAUGGUCCCCUGAGACACCACCUGAAAUGAAGUCUCAGGAUCCUGUGUUUCCUGCACAGUCCACAAAGCACGAUGUUGAGUCACCUGCUCUCAGAGUCCAUGACAGCUCUGUCCUCUUCAAUAAUGGUGCAUGGUGACCCUCAAUAUGAGAUACAAGCAUCUGUUAUCUGGAGACUGGCUGCUCUCAGUGAAAAAAGAAGGAGUACUGCUAAUAGGCUUUCACCUCACAGCCUGAAUGCCAGGCCACCACACAAGAACUGAAGAGGCCAGGCUCCUCCCCAUUCUCCCAGUGUGCAGGUGGGCCCCUCAUCCAUUGCAGGCAUGUGCAGAAAAGACCCUGGGCAGGUUCCCUCAUCUGCACAAAAGCAUCUGAUGUAAACACUUGUGGGGUGAGUCGGAGAUUCUCUGGGGACCCUCCCUCAUCUGACUCCUGCAUCUAUCACUACCAUUACCUCAAAAACAAUAAAAAAGUUAAAUUGGCAUUUUUUUUUAACCUAAAGGCUAGUGUAUCUGGCAACAUACAAGAUACAUACCUCUCAUAGAAGAUUAAAAGCUUUUUCGUACCAGG
This 619-nucleotide long non-coding RNA is filed under the name Homo sapiens (human). RNAcentral describes it as "HSALNT0359940". The record is from RNAcentral. Lineage: Eukaryota; Metazoa; Chordata; Mammalia; Primates; Hominidae.